AUUACCUUCUUCCUCGAUCUCUCUCCCUUCUUGAUCUCUCACUGAGCCAUGCCGCCACACCUACCUUCAAGCUGCAUCCAAUCUUUCUUGCUCGAUCUCUUUUCCUUGCCAUCGAUCACCGAGAUUACAGCAGUUAUUCCUUCCGCGACCCUAUACUGCUGCUUGGUAUCACCGCUUGCUAAUCCAGAAUCACUAUUUGUCAUGCUUUUGAGAUUAGAG
Molecule: long non-coding RNA, 219 nt
Filed under: Manihot esculenta (cassava)
Lineage: Eukaryota; Viridiplantae; Streptophyta; Magnoliopsida; Malpighiales; Euphorbiaceae
Description: long non-coding RNA (MESC_LNC007345)
Source: RNAcentral